RNAcentral lists this ribosomal RNA (468 nucleotides) under uncultured bacterium. RNAcentral's name for it is "partial 16S ribosomal RNA". It matches the Rfam family "Bacterial small subunit ribosomal RNA", at positions 28 to 507 of the family's 1533-position model. The record is from RNAcentral.
GAUGAACGCUGGCGGCGUGCUCAACACAUGCAAGUCGAACGGAAAGGCCCAAGCUUGCUUGGGUACUCGAGUGGCGAACGGGUGAGUAACACGUGGGUGAUCUGCCCUGCACUUCGGGAUAAGCCUGGGAAACUGGGUCUAAUACCGGAUAGGACGAUGUUUUGGAUGCCAUUGUGGAAAGUUUUUUCGGUGUGGGAUGAGCUCGCGGCCUAUCAGCUUGUUGGUGGGGUAAUGGCCUACCAAGGCGUCGACGGGUAGCCGGCCUGAGAGGGUGUACGGCCACAUUGGGACUGAGAUACGGCCCAGAAUCCUACGGGAGGCAGCAGUGGGGAAUAUUGCACAAUGGGCGCAAGACUGAUGCAGCGACGCCGCGUGGGGGAUGACGGCCUUCGGGUUGUAAAAUCCUUUCGCUAGGGACGACGCGUUUUUGUGACGGUACCUGGAGAAGAAGCACCGGCUAACUACGUG